Molecule: small RNA, 93 nt
Filed under: Flavobacterium caeni
Lineage: Bacteria; Pseudomonadati; Bacteroidota; Flavobacteriia; Flavobacteriales; Flavobacteriaceae
Description: Flavo-1 RNA
Rfam family: Flavo-1 RNA
Source: Rfam by way of RNAcentral
CGAUAGUUUGCGUUAGGGAUUGAAGCGGAAAUCCUUUUUGCGUCGCAGCGAAGCGAAGACGCGAAAAGAUUGCAGCGGAAAGCCCGGCCGCGA